Pogona vitticeps (central bearded dragon) is the source of this 1206-nucleotide non-coding RNA. Lineage: Eukaryota; Metazoa; Chordata; Lepidosauria; Squamata; Agamidae. The record is from RefSeq and is a predicted model, not a curated record.
GAACAUCUGAAGGCCCAAGAUUAGGGACCACUGCUCUAGUUUAGCAGUGUUUAAGGUUGUAUUGCAAGACUUGGACACAAUGGCUGAAAUCCAUUAGUAAGUUGUAACUAGAGUAGCCCCAUUGAAUUAGUGAAAUUUAAAGAGUAGCUGAGUUUCCAAAUUCCAACUGAUUGAAUGGGCCUACUGUACUCAUGAUUUUCUAUUGAUUUUCAGCCACUUUUUCAUGCCAUAUACAUUAUCAUUGGUGUUUAAUAUAUUACAAGGAGCAAUUAUUUGCUGCUUGUUUCAGUAUAUUCUAUUUGCACUGACUGAUUGUACUGUUAUUAUUGCAUUUCUGUUACUUAUAAGCAAUGUUGCCUUUGUGGUGUUAACACCUGGAGGUAGCCCUGAGAGAUUAUUUUCGGAACAGUUCAGAGUUUGUAUCAUUUUCUCAAAUCAUAUCAAGUUCUUCUUAAGAUCCUUCCUCCCUUCCUCCCUCCCUCAUAUUAUAGACUUUGAAAUAAGCAGAGCAUGGAAAAGUUACUCUUUAGAAUUACAGAAGCCCUAAUCAGGGUCACUAUGCCAGUGGUGAAUUCCAGGAAUUGUAAUCUAACAAUAGAAUUUAAAUAUAAACUCUGACAAUAACACUGUGAUAUAAGUUCAGUUGUAUUUGUGUCCAAUGCCAGCCAACUCUGUUGAAGUUAUGAUGAAAUGUUCCAUCCACUUUUCCAGUAAAUUAUUCUUUAGGUUUAUCAAAUAAGUUUAAUCUAGCAUAAUAUUCAGAGAGAGAAAUUAGAGUUGUAUCCAUCUGUAGCAUAAAAGAAAAUGUUUCUUCUGGUGCUAAAUGAAAUGUCACAAUGAUGGAAUUCCUUGAAUUUUGUUUUAUACUUGUCACAGAAGUCAUAGAUAAGAUGAAUUCAGUAGCUGUCCUUCAAGAAGCGAGCUUGCGCAUAGCCUAGUAAGACAAGGUUUAAAGGAAAUUGAGGACAAAGUAUUUUUGAAAUGAGAACCAGGCCAGAUUCUGUGCUGUUCCAAAAGAUUCUGAGUCCAAAUACAUUGAUUUAAGAUUGCAUUGCCGUUUUCAGAAAGGCAUAUUCCAUGACUAAACUCCUCUGAGAGAUAUUACGCUCCCACCAAGUCAGCAUAGAAAGAUCUAGCAACUUCCAUAAAAGCUAAUGGCAAGAAUUAUUCUACUCAGAAAGACAAGCAAAUAAUCUCACCGUUUUC